GGUUUUUACAGCGAACGUGUGCGGUUCAGAGAUCGGUUUCCGAUUCGGAUUCGGUUUCGCUCUCGAUUUUGUUGCAUAUUAACACACGGAGCCCAGCCACAUCCAUCCAUCCCAGAUAUAUUGAUUAUCCAUCACAUCACACAAACCAAAAAAAAAGCCCCCCCAUAAACGAACGCCCACGAAACGAAACAAAACGAGUUGAGGCGAGGAGAGGUGCGCAGAACGGUGGUGAGAAAAAGAAAAGUAAAGUCCAACGAAAGUGAAAAAAUCAAUCGAAUCGAAUCGAAUCGAAGGAAAAUCUCCGCUCAGCUGUAAACUAAAUCAAAAGCCCCAAAACUAACCAACAUAUCUUUCAAACAAACAAAACAACCCGAGGCCCACAAAAAACUAAAACAACAAAGUCAAAAAUCGAAAAAGGUUCAACAACAAUUAAUUCAGAGUGCUGUUGGGCUGCAUCUUCGGGCUGUUCGUGUUGCAUUUUAUUGCCUCGAAACAAUAUUUACAAGUCUUCUUUAUGGCCACUGAGUGAAAUGCAAAUCAAUUAAACAACAACAAAAAAAGUGGAGAAACAAAAGCAUACAGCAAUUAAAGAAAGCAACAAAAAAAGAAAGAAAAUAUUCGUUACAAUUUGAUUGAACUCGAUUUAUUGACCAUGAAAACGGUGGAAAGUCUAAAUUAUAUUUAAUUACAAAAACAAA
This is a long non-coding RNA of Drosophila guanche, 698 nucleotides long. RefSeq lists it as uncharacterized. The record is from RefSeq and is a predicted model, not a curated record. Lineage: Eukaryota; Metazoa; Arthropoda; Insecta; Diptera; Drosophilidae. The transcript has 2 exons.